UCAGACGAAACCCAACAGGCCAGGGGCUGUUCAAUCAGACGAAACCCAACAGGUCAGGGGCUGUUCAAUCAGACGAAACCCAACAGGUCAGGGGCUGUUCAAUCAGAUGAAACACAACAGGUCAGGGGCUGUUCAAUCAGACGAAACCCA
This is a long non-coding RNA of Xyrauchen texanus (razorback sucker), 150 nucleotides long. RefSeq lists it as uncharacterized. The record is from RefSeq and is a predicted model, not a curated record. NCBI's taxonomy places the organism in Eukaryota, Metazoa, Chordata, Actinopteri, Cypriniformes, Catostomidae. The transcript is spliced from 3 exons.